This is a long non-coding RNA of Quercus robur (English oak), 1286 nucleotides long. RefSeq lists it as uncharacterized. The record is from RefSeq and is a predicted model, not a curated record. The transcript is spliced from 4 exons. NCBI's taxonomy places the organism in Eukaryota, Viridiplantae, Streptophyta, Magnoliopsida, Fagales, Fagaceae.
UCGAUGUCAUGUUCAUGUCCUACUUAAUAAUGCCAGUCAUUUAAUGACAGAUUGCAAACCAAUUGGCUGUCCUCAACUGGUUCAAUGAAGAAUCUAACAAAUACAAGUUCAUUAAGAAAUCCCUUGAGGAUGUGGAUGAGGUUGAUCAUAUAGAUGUGACAGCCAAUGAUGAAGCAGCAAACCACACUGAAACACUAGAUGUAAGCCCUAGUACACGCUCAGCUGCUCUAGUGCGUACACGUCGUCGACGUGCCCCCACCCCUCAUUUUGCCACUAAGACCCCUUAUCCACCCUUGUCCACCCCUCGUGACACAACUGGGCCCCCCAUACCACCCAUCCCUCCCAUUGACACCGGAUCUCCCAUGUCGUUUACCUAUGCUGAAUUCGAGUCCUCCCCACACACCACCGUCGUUGACCACAACUUGCCCAUGGCCCCGUCCUAUAGCUCCCCCUAGAAAGUUAUACCCACCUCUAGCCUUCAAACACCCCAAGUUGAGCUCAUGUCUACCAGCCCGAGUCAUACACAACAUCCUCCUACCUCCUUCUCUCCCUUGAUGCAUGUUGCACAAGCGACACAACCACAUGAUGGACAUGUUGAGCAGGGGCAACGUGAUCAAGUUGAGCAGCCACACAAUGCAAAUGCUCACGCUCCACCCAAACAGAAAUUGACUUGCACCAUCCAACCAAAGAGAUGCAACAUAGUUUCUAUGGAGAAGGCACUCUCAAUAGUUUAUCAACCACAAGCCAUUUUCCGAAUCCGUCCGGUUAAUUGUUGUUCAGUAACAAUUUCUGGACAAGUAAAUUCAGCAAUUGACUGCUGAGUUGGGUACCAUUGCUACAUAUUCCAGUCCAUCUAGGUUUAAUCAGGGUAUGUAGUCACUACGGUGGACAUAUUGGAAAGAACUGGAUUUAUACCACCCUCGUUGGAACUAACGGGAUUUGCAAGGUGCGGAAGAAAGAUACUUUCUGCAUAUUGUCUUCAGGUCUGGUUAUUAUCGUCGCUGGCGGAUGUACUGGAUGCCUAUUGAACCUUCGACAUAGUGAAUCCUUUUAGGUUUUUUUUUUUUUUUUUUUGGUUGCUGUACUUGAAUAGAAUUUAUUAGCUUUGCUUCAUGGGAGAUUAAUAAAGUGCCAAGGUCUCGUAAUUCAACUGACAAUUCUUAGUAUUUUCAACUAAGAUAGUCAGGAUUUAAAACCCCAUCCCCCUAUGACAGUAUAUCAAAUUAUCCAAAAAUUAAUGAAAUAUUUAUGAGAAACGGACAAUCUUAUGGUUGAUAUUACCACUA